This 468-nucleotide ribosomal RNA is filed under the name uncultured bacterium. RNAcentral describes it as "partial 16S ribosomal RNA". It matches the Rfam family "Bacterial small subunit ribosomal RNA", at positions 28 to 507 of the family's 1533-position model. The record is from RNAcentral.
GACGAACGCUGGCGGCGUGCUUAACACAUGCAAGUCGAACGGAAAGGCCCUGCUUUUGUGGGGUGCUCGAGUGGCGAACGGGUGAGUAACACGUGAGUAACCUGCCCUUGACUUUGGGAUAACUUCAGGAAACUGGGGCUAAUACCGGAUAGGAGCUCCUGCUGCAUGGUGGGGGUUGGAAAGUUUCGGCGGUUGGGGAUGGACUCGCGGCUUAUCAGCUUGUUGGUGGGGUAGUGGCUUACCAAGGCUUUGACGGGUAGCCGGUCUGAGAGGGUGACCGGCCACAUUGGGACUGAGAUACGGUCCAGACUCCUACGGGAGGCAGCAGUGGGGAAUAUUGCACAAUGGGCGGAAGCCUGAUGCAGCAACGCCGCGUGCGGGAUGACGGCCUUCGGGUUGUAAACCGCUUUCGCCUGUGACGAAGCGUGAGUGACGGUAAUGGGUAAAGAAGCACCGGCUAACUACGUG